RNAcentral lists this ribosomal RNA (281 nucleotides) under uncultured bacterium. Its description in RNAcentral is "partial 16S ribosomal RNA". It matches the Rfam family "Bacterial small subunit ribosomal RNA", at positions 28 to 310 of the family's 1533-position model. The record is from RNAcentral.
GACGAACGCUGGCGGCGUGCCUAACACAUGCAAGUCAACUUGAGGGAAGGAGCAAUCUGACCUGAUGGUGGCGCAAGGGUGCGUAACGCGUAAGUAACUUGCCCAAGGUAAGGAAUAACGUCGAGAAAUCGGCGCUAAUACCUCGUAAUGCAGCGGAUCCGCAUGGAUAUGUUGUUAAAGGUUUACCGCCUUGGGAUAGGCUUGCGUCUGAUUAGCUAGUUGGUGUGGUAAUGGCACACCAAGGCUACGAUCAGUAACUGGUCUGAGAGGAUGAUCAGUCA